Molecule: ribosomal RNA, 467 nt
Filed under: uncultured bacterium
Lineage: Bacteria
Description: partial 16S ribosomal RNA
Rfam family: Bacterial small subunit ribosomal RNA
Source: RNAcentral
GACGAACGCUGGCGGCGUGCUUAACACAUGCCAGUCGAACGGUGAAGCUCCAGCUUGCUGGAGUGGAUCAGUGGCGAACGGGUGAGUAACACGUGAGCAACCUGCCCCUGACUCUGGAAUAAGCGCUGGAAACGGCGUCUAAUACUGGAUACGAGAAGGGUCCGCAUGGGCACUUUCUGGAAAGUUUUUCGGUUGGGGAUGGGCUCGCGGCCUAUCAGCUUGUUGGUGAGGUAAUGGCUCACCAAGGCGACGACGGGUAGCCGGCCUGAGAGGGCGACCGGCCACACUGGGACUGAGACACGGCCCAGACUCCUACGGGAGGCAGCAGUGGGGAAUAUUGCACAAUGGGCGAAAGCCUGAUGCAGCGACGCCGCGUGAGGGAUGACGGCCUUCGGGUUGUAAACCUCUUUCAGCAGGGAAGAAGCGAAAGUGACGGUACCUGCAGAAGAAGCACCGGCUAACUACGU